AUGAUACUCGCCGUGCUCUUCGCCAACUCCGAAGGCAACAUCCUCAUCGAGAGGUUCCAUGGCGUCCCCCCGGAGGAGCGGCUGCACUGGCGCUCCUUCCUCGUCAAGCUCGGCGCCGAGAACCUCAAGGGAGCCAAGUCCGAGGAGCUCCUCGUCGCCUCCCACAAGUCGGUCUCCAUUGUGUAUACCAUGAUCGGAGACGUCUGCCUGUACAUUGUUGGCAAGGAUGAAUAUGAUGAGCUUGCUCUGUCGGAGGUGAUCUUCGCUGUUACGUCGGCGGUGAAGGAUGUGUGUGCGAAACCACCCACCGAGCGCCUCUUCCUCGACAAGUACGGGAGGAUCUGCCUGUGCCUCGAUGAGAUCGUUUGGCAGGGGUUGCUGGAGAACACGGAGAAGGACAGGGUCCGGAGGCUCAUCAGGCUGAAGCCGCCCGUGGAGCCAUGA
Molecule: ribosomal RNA, 444 nt
Filed under: Triticum aestivum (bread wheat)
Lineage: Eukaryota; Viridiplantae; Streptophyta; Magnoliopsida; Poales; Poaceae
Description: partial small subunit ribosomal RNA
Source: RNAcentral